UGCAGAAUCCCGUGAACCAUCGAGUUUUUGAACGCAAGUUGCGCCCGAGGCCAUUCGGCCGAGGGCACGCCUGCCUGGGCGUCAGCUGCCCAUGAACGCUCCUUCCCCAUCUUAUUAUAUGUGGGGGGGAUGCGGAGCAUGGCCAUCCUUGCCCUCGGGCUCGGCGGGCCGAAGCGUGUGGCUUGCCGAUUGGGGCCGGCAGUGGCGAGUGGUGGAUUGAUCGCUCACGCGAGCCGUACGUCGCCCGUCGUGCCCCCGAGCGGGAAGCCUCGAGUCACCCUGGACGCACGGAUGCCGAACGGCAUCCUCGGACCAAGACCCCAGGUCAGGCGGGGCCACCCGCUGAGUUUAAGCAUAUAAUUAAGCGGAGGAGAAGAAACUUACGAGGAUUCCCCUAGUAACGGCGAGCGAACCGGGAGCAGCCCAGCCUUGGAAUCACGCGGCGCCGCCGCGCGA
RNAcentral lists this ribosomal RNA (456 nucleotides) under Juncus gerardii. RNAcentral describes it as "eukaryotic LSU rRNA". The stretch from base 316 to 456 matches the Rfam family "Eukaryotic large subunit ribosomal RNA", at positions 1 to 141 of the family's 3401-position model. Lineage: Eukaryota; Viridiplantae; Streptophyta; Magnoliopsida; Poales; Juncaceae. The record is from RNAcentral.